UUAGCACACUAUUGGUAAUAAGUGCAGACAUAAGAUAUCUUAUUAAACUCAGAGCAACAUGUUUUUCCUUUUAUUACAUUAGCUUACAUCAAUUAAUUUUGCUAGGGCCAAUUCGGACAAGUACAAAGUACCAUAUGAAAUCAUUGUAAUAUAAAUUUUGAGUUCCAACUUACAAAAACGUGAUUAAUCAUCAUGUAGAGCAAGAAUGAGAUAUUCACGAGUCAUUCUUUCAGUUACUCAAAAUAGGCUAUCAUUUACCAAAAUGAUCUAAAUAUCCUAAGUUAUUCUUUCAGUUAUUCAAAAUAAGCUAUAUCAUUUAACAAAACAAUUUUCCUUUUUUUUUUAAUAAUAUUAUUGGCAACUUUAUACAUGUGUUGUCCAGAGGUCUUUUUCAAGUUUUUUAUAUUUUAAAAAUGGUCAGAUAAUAAUCCCAUAUGAUUAACCUUUAAAUGUUGGUUAUGCUUUAAAUAGUCACCCUAAAGGUAAUUACUAGUUUAUGAUAAACUACAUUUUUUCUUGGGAAAAUGGCUAAGAAACCUAGAUUAUGGCCGGAUUUGUAGUAACACUCUCAUACUUACGGGGAUUCUAUUACCUUCUAGAUUAUUUUUUUAGUGCAUUUAUUUUGCAUUUUAAGUCAGGUGCACAUACGCGCUGAACAAAAGCCCAAAAGACCCCUAUUUCGAUCCUUUUCUGUUGGAUAUUUAAAUUUGGAUAACGGGUCGCCCAUGUGGACUGACCCAACCCAUUUAGAAAAGGAUAAGAUUGAGGAGUUACGAGGCACGUUACCCUGGAAGUUACAAGUCCAUACAACCACUAUAUUUGUGGUGAAUGAACGUGUAGUGUGGUUUUGAAAUAAGUGAAUUGCUCCUCUCUCUCUUCAGUAAGAAAAAUACACAUUCUCCUUCUUCAACAGAGAAGAGUUUUUUCUUCUACUUCUUAAUAGAAACACACUAAAAAAGACAUUUAGUUUGUGAAACAUAACUUUGUUUCCAAGAGAUUCAAAGCUCGAUUUUGGGGUAAUUUUUUGUGGCAAGUUCAACGAUUUAUCUUCUGCUGCUUUAAGACAUGGCUGGACGGAGACAUGCUCGAAAUGCACCAACUGAGAGUGGUGGUAAAAGUCAAGCAAAAGGACAACAUAGAAGAAUGCAUCGUCAAAGGACUAUAUUUAGUAAUGAUUCAGACUCUGAGCCUGAAGUCAUCAAAAAUGUCUCAAGGACGAUACAAAAUAUCUUUAGAGAGGAUAGAGUUGUGCAAAGGGAAGGAGAAAGAAAAUUUGUAGAAUUUUAAAAAAUCAAAAUGGACCCAUUUGCAUCUAUACCAAGCUAUAUUCAUCUUUUGGGGAGGAAGCUGUCAGGACUAAUGUUUCAACAUUUUAAAAUUGUUUCGAGUUAGGAUGUCGUGGGAAUAUUGGAGCAAUCUAUACCAGAUUAUUGGAAGGGUCAGUUGGCUGAUAUUUAUCACAAGCUUGGUCCAAAUGCACCCAUUUGGAUGUACACUAUGGAACUUGAAUCCAAGUGGGAGGAAAAGAAAAUAGCAACUAAGGUUAAGAAAUCUUGGCUACUAAAGACUUGUUCUAGACCCAUAUUGAGUCCGAUAGUUCCUAAAUCUCAGCUUUCUAGACUUUCUCCCAUAGAAGAAUUGGCUAAAUAGCGGCUGAAAGUUUUUUAAAUCCUAGUCACCCGCGUAAUGAGAAGAAAGCCAUAGACAAGUAGUAUAUGACUUGUAAUUGUGUAAAUUCCUUUUAUGAACAUAUGUUUGUUUAUCUCUUCUGUUAAUA
Molecule: long non-coding RNA, 1777 nt
Organism: Lycium barbarum (goji berry)
Lineage: Eukaryota; Viridiplantae; Streptophyta; Magnoliopsida; Solanales; Solanaceae
Exons: 2
Source: RefSeq, a predicted model, not a curated record